GGCUAGAGUUUGAUCAUGGCUCAGGACGAACGCUGGCGGCGUGCCUAACACAUGCAAGUCGAACGGAGUUUGCCCCUUCGGGGGUAAACUUAGUGGCGGACGGGUGAGUAACGCGUGAGCAACCUGCCUAGAAGAGGGGGAUAACGGCUGGAAACGGUCGCUAAUACCGCAUGACAUUCCACUACCGCAUGGUGGAGGAAUCAAAGGAGCAAUCCGCUUUUAGAUGGGCUCGCGUCCGAUUAGCUGGUUGGUGGGGUAACGGCCUACCAAGGCGACGAUCGGUAGCCGAACUGAGAGGUUGAUCGGCCACAUUGGGACUGAGACACGGCCCAGACUCCUACGGGAGGCAGCAGUGGGGGAUAUUGCACAAUGGGGGAAACCCUGAUGCAGCAACGCCGCGUGAGGGAAGACGGUUUUCGGAUUGUAAACCUCUGUCCUUGGUGACGAUAAUGACGGUAGCCAAGAAGGAAGCCACGGCUAACUACGUGCCAGCAGCCGCGGUAAUACGUAGGUGGCAAGCGUUGUCCGGAAUUACUGGGUGUAAAGGGAGCGUAGGCGGGAAGGCGAGUCAGAUGUGAAAUCCACAGGCUUAACCUGUGGCGUGCAUUUGAAACUGUUUUUCUUGAGUGAAGUAGAGGCAGGCG
RNAcentral lists this ribosomal RNA (644 nucleotides) under uncultured organism. RNAcentral's name for it is "bacterial SSU rRNA". It matches the Rfam family "Bacterial small subunit ribosomal RNA", at positions 1 to 663 of the family's 1533-position model. The record is from RNAcentral.